CUGAAAUUGAAUAUAGUACCGUAGACAGUAGGUGCGUAAUGCUUAAUUUCCUACCGAGGUUUUGAUCAUAAAUGAAAUUAUGACCUCUCUAUGUCUACGGAGAGGUCUUUUGUAUAAUCAA
Lutispora thermophila DSM 19022 is the source of this 121-nucleotide regulatory RNA element. It matches the Rfam family "Ribosomal protein L10 leader". Rfam says of the family: This family is a putative r-protein leader autoregulatory structure found in B. subtilis and other low-GC Gram-positive bacteria. It is located in the 5' untranslated regions of mRNAs encoding ribosomal proteins L10 and L12 (rplJ-rplL). The record is from Rfam. Lineage: Bacteria; Bacillati; Bacillota; Clostridia; Lutisporales; Lutisporaceae.